Ameiurus melas (black bullhead) is the source of this 75-nucleotide non-coding RNA. Lineage: Eukaryota; Metazoa; Chordata; Actinopteri; Siluriformes; Ictaluridae. The record is from the annotation of a GenBank genome assembly.
CGCACGGUGGGGGCGCACGGUUACCACAUUCGCCUCACACCUCCAGGGUCCGGGGUUCGAUUCCCCCCCGUGCUG